AUUGAACGCUGGCGGCAGGCCUAACACAUGCAAGUCGAGCGGAUGAAGGGAGCUUGCUCCUGGAUUCAGCGGCGGACGGGUGUGUAAUGCCUAGGAAUCUGCCUGGUAGUGGGGGAUAACGUCCGGAAACGGGCGCUAAUACCGCAUACGUCCUGAGGGAGAAAGUGGGGGAUCUUCGGACCUCACGCUAUCAGAUGAGCCUAGGUCGGAUUAGCUAGUUGGUGGGGUAAAGGCCUACCAAGGCGACGAUCCGUAACUGGUCUGAGAGGAUGAUCAGUCACACUGGAACUGAGACACGGUCCAGACUCCUACGGGAGGCAGCAGUGGGGAAUAUUGGACAAUGGGCGAAAGCCUGAUCCAGCCAUGCCGCGUGUGUGAAGAAGGUCUUCGGAUUGUAAAGCACUUUAAGUUGGGAGGAAGGGCAGUAAGUUAAUACCUUGCUGUUUUGACGUUACCAACAGAAGAAGCACCGGCUAACUUCGUG
This 484-nucleotide ribosomal RNA is filed under the name uncultured bacterium. Its description in RNAcentral is "partial 16S ribosomal RNA". It matches the Rfam family "Bacterial small subunit ribosomal RNA", at positions 30 to 507 of the family's 1533-position model. The record is from RNAcentral.